This 1372-nucleotide long non-coding RNA is filed under the name Ananas comosus (pineapple). Its description in RNAcentral is "long non-coding RNA (ACOM_LNC038621)". The record is from RNAcentral. Lineage: Eukaryota; Viridiplantae; Streptophyta; Magnoliopsida; Poales; Bromeliaceae.
GGGUGCGUUUGGUUUGCAUUAUGAAAGAUUACUAGGAAUAAAAGAUAUCCGAGAAUCUUAUUCCUAUUCAUUCUAUUACUAAGAAUGUGGAUUUUCUAUGUUUGGUUCGCACGGUAAUAUUAAUUAGCCAUAUUAUUUAAUAUUACAAAAAAUAUACAAUUUAUUUAUUUAUUUAUUUAUUUAAAUUUAGAUAAUGUUACCAAAAGUUUCAACAUCUUUUUAGAAAAAAAGAAGAGAGAGUAUAAGUUAGAGAGAGAGAGUAUAAUUAAAAAAAUAGAAAGAAAAAUAUAAUCGAAAUUAGAGGGAGUAAGAGAGUUGAAAUUUUAGAAAGAGAGAGAGAGAGAGAGAGAGAAAGCUUAGUUUAGAGAGAGAAAAAAAGUUGAAUUUUAGAGAGAAAAAUAAGUUUAGAGAGAGAUAUAAGGUUAGAGUGUAACAAAAAAUAAUAUCAAUUAGCCGACAAAUAGAAAGAAAGAAAGAGAUUAAACAUAUUAUGAUUAUUCCAAUCCAUUAAUAUGAGAAUACUUACCCUCCCUCCCUCAAGGAAAUGAGAUUAGUACUUUGGGGUGAAUCUUAUUCCCAAGUGAAUCCAAUAUUACCAACUAGAUUAGUUAGUGCGUUUAGCCAAACACAGUCAUAUUUUUUUAUUCUUAAACUGUGAAAUUAUUUAAGAGUUAAAAGAACGCGUGAUCUUUUAUAGAAAAACUUUACACAAUCGUUUAGCUGUUAUGUCGCGCCUCUCGAACUCCGAACCCCGCCGGCGACGGUCCAGCCCCGCCGCCGAGCUUCCUGGCACGCCGACUCUUAUAUCGCACAUCGCCGACCGUCCUACCCCGCAGCGACCGUCCUGCGCCUCCGACGCUUCACUUGCAUUUGGAGGGGACGUCGAUCUUUUGCACUUUUAAGUUCAGAUUAUAUUAAGAAAUGAAAAAAAUAAAAUUUUGACUGGUUAAGGAGAGGUUGCAUUGAAACGAGCCUAGCGAUGCACUGUUAGAAGAGAAGUUGCACCUUUUUUUUCUGGCGUUGUACUUUGCGUUGCACUAUUAUCCCUAUUGCGGGCCGUGCAGAUUUUGUCAUUUAUCUUGAGUAAUUGUAUUAAAGUCUUAGAACCGAACAGGAAACAGCGGGACCGGCGAAUAGCUACGACGGAUGUUGUCCGGGUUCCGAGAAAUGAGCGAGAUUGCGUAAUGCGGAAGCGGGGCAUUUAAUGCGCGCCAGACCGUACGGCAGGAUAGUAGGAUAGUAUACGUAUGUCAAGAAAUACGCGGGAGGCUAUUGUAUAGGAGAGGCAUUUUGGUGAGACGGCAGAAAAAAAGAACCGAAUCUGCAAAAACGAAAAAGAUGACCCGAUUUUAUAAAUGCCGAAAAUAAGUAA